Molecule: ribosomal RNA, 495 nt
Filed under: uncultured bacterium
Lineage: Bacteria
Description: partial 16S ribosomal RNA
Rfam family: Bacterial small subunit ribosomal RNA
Source: RNAcentral
GACGAACGCUGGCGGCGUGCCUAAUACAUGCAAGUAGAACGCUGAAGGAGGAGCUUGCUUCUCUGGAUGAGUUGCGAACGGGUGAGUAACGCGUAGGUAACCUGCCUGGUAGCGGGGGAUAACUAUUGGAAACGAUAGCUAAUACCGCAUAAGAGUAGAUGUUGCAUGACAUUUGCUUAAAAGGUGCAAUUGCAUCACUACCAGAUGGACCUGCGUUGUAUUAGCUAGUUGGUGGGGUAACGGCUUACCAAGGCGACGAUACAUAGCCGACCUGAGAGGGUGAGCGGCCACACUGGGACUGAGACACGGCCCAGACUCCUACGGGAGGCAGCAGUAGGGAAUCUUCGGCAAUGGACGGAAGUCUGACCGAGCAACGCCGCGUGAGUGAAGAAGGUUGUCGGAUCGUAAAGCUCUGUUGUAAGAGAAGAACGAGUGUGAGAGUGGAAAGUUCACACUGUGACGGUAUCUGACCAGAAAGGGACGGCUAACUACGUG